RNAcentral lists this transfer RNA (71 nucleotides) under Dipodomys ordii (Ord's kangaroo rat). It matches the Rfam family "tRNA". Rfam says of the family: Transfer RNA (tRNA) molecules are approximately 80 nucleotides in length. Lineage: Eukaryota; Metazoa; Chordata; Mammalia; Rodentia; Heteromyidae. The record is from Rfam by way of RNAcentral.
GCAGUUGUAGCUCAGUGGUAGAGUUCUUGCCUAGCAUGCUUGAGGCUUUGGGUUCCAUCCCCAGCACUGCA